This 905-nucleotide ribosomal RNA is filed under the name uncultured crenarchaeote. RNAcentral describes it as "bacterial SSU rRNA". It matches the Rfam family "Archaeal small subunit ribosomal RNA", at positions 21 to 903 of the family's 1478-position model. The record is from RNAcentral. Lineage: Archaea; Thermoproteati; Thermoproteota.
CCUUACUGCUAUCGGGAUAAGACUAAGCCAUGCAUGUCGAGCGCUCUCAAGCUAUGUAGAGAGCGCGGCGAACGGCUCCGUAACACGUAGUUAACCUACCCUCGGGAUGGGGAUAACCCCGGGAAACUGGGAUUAAUACCCACUAGAUGAUUAUACCUGGAAUGGCUUAUCAUCGAAAGAGUCUGGAAACAUGCUUCCAGCGUCGCCCGAGGAUGGGACCGCGUCCGAUCAGGUUGUUGGUGGGGUAACGGCCUACCAAGCCUAUAACCGGUACGGGCCCUGAGAGGGGUAGCCCGGAGAUGGAAACUGAGAAAAGGUUCCAGGCCCUACGGGGUGCAGCAGGCGCGAAACCUCCACAAUGCGCGAAAGCGUGAUGGGGUUAUCCCGAGUGCCGUCCGAUGAGGAUGGCUUUUCAUCGGUGUAAGGAUCCGAUGGAAUAAAGGGGGGGCAAGACUGGUGUCAGCCGCCGCGGUAAUACCAGCCCCCUGAGUGGUAAGGACGAUUAUUUGGCCUAAAGCGUUUCGUAGCCGGCUUAUCAAGUCUUUUGUUAAAUCCAACGAUUCAAUCGUUGGGCCGCAAAAGAUACUGUUAUGCUAGAGGACGGGAGAGGUCGACGGUAGUCCAGGGGUAGGGGUGAAAUCCUAUAAUCCUUGGAGGACCACCAGUGGCGAAGGCGGUCGACUAGAACGUGCCUGACGGUGAGGGACGAAAGCUGGGGGAGCGAACCGGAUUAGAUACCCGGGUAGUCCCAGCCGUAAACGAUGCGGGCUAGGUGUUGGGGCAGCCACGAGCUGCUCCAGUGCCGCAGAGAAGUUGUUAAGCCCGCCGCCUGGGGAGUACGGCCGCAAGGCUGAAACUUAAAGGAAUUGGCGGGGGAGCACCACAAGGGGUGAAGGCUGCGGUUU